GAGUGCAUCGCUGUGGUGUCAGCUGUCCUCCUUCAAGUGUGUGUGUGUGUGUGGUAGCUCUUGCACAUGUGGUGGUGUGUGUGUGUGUUAGAGCACUGUGCGGCCUGGGACAGUGUUUGUGUCUGGGUGCCUGUGCACUAGGAGAGCUUGAGGAAGGCAGCUGGCUUUCCAUAACUGCCUAGCAGAGUAGUCAGGUGGGGAGACUGGGGCGGGCUGCUGGGGAGGUUGGCCUCAGCAGGGAGGCCCCUGGAGCAUGCAUAGUCAUAGGUGAGAGCAUCCUUCCCCACCCCCUUCCCCCUGCCAGGUUGCCUGCAAAUCAGGGCUUCCCCUGUGACCCACUCUCCCUGCUUCCAAAAGGGCAUCUGCUAGUUGACUGUCCCUUCUUAGUGGGGAAGCCCAGUGGGUCAGGUUCACCCUCUUAGUGACAUUUUUGUUUUUCCUAUGAGGUCUCCACGGGGAACAACUUCGUCUCUCUGAAGUCAACUCAUGAAAGUUCUACUUGAUCCAUUUCUGCAAACAUCUGCUGUUCCCUACCUCCAGGGUCACACGAGGCAGGGGAAAAGAAGUGCAAUUUAUAGUGUGGCUUGACAUUUAAAUCAGAAGUUUCGUCUCAACACACCUGCCCAAUAGAAGGGUGAAUGACCUGUGGAAACCUCUGGACCCAGGAGGCUGGGCUGCAACUUUGGGAUGACUUGGAGCCCAGUCCACCAGGAGGAAAAUGCUUCCCGUAAGGGGUCCUGACACCUGCAGAGGGGGCUUUGCCAUGAUUUCUUCUGGUUAUUUCUGUAAGGAUGGCCAGAUGUGGAUCCCUGUGUUGUCCCACAGUGGCUGGAAUCUCAAGUCUCUCGAAGUCUUCUGCCUGCCUUCGCAUUCCAACCCCACCGAUCCUCCAGAGCACCAUGUAAGAACACCAACCAGCCGAGAAAACUGGAACGAAGAGGAGAAGCUGUGAUGCAGGAACAUCUAGCGUAAAGCUGAGAACGGCUGGAUGUGGAUCCCUGUGUUGUCCCACAAGUGGCUGGAAUCUCAAGUGUCUUGAAGUCUUCCGCCUGUCUUCGCUUUCCAACCCCACCGAUCCUCCAGAGCGCACCACGUGUACGACGGCAGCUCCCGUGACUGUGGCUGAAGUUCUGCUGGCACCUUCCUGCCCCAGUGCUCAGGGUGCCCUGGGGUGCCCUGGAUGGGCUUCUUCAAUCCCUUGUGAGAGGCAUCUUGAGGGAUUGUGAGCCCAUAGGUCUGUGCAGGUCUCCAGGUAGCUCAGGAGUCCAUGGACUAUUGACGACAAAGGAUCAGGGUCCCUAAAAUUCUACAGGAAGGGCAGGAAGAGCCGCUGGUAGGGAAGAUGCCAGAUGCUUUUGGAAGGACGCACAGAGACAGACCCAGGACGGCAGGGAGGCCCGCCUGCUCUGACAUUCCCGUGGCUGGGGCCUUGGAGGGGUCGGUCUGACCCCUUAGAUCUCAGUUACUGAUUGACAGAAUAAAUGGAGUGCCUUCUAUGUGCUCUUCUUCUUAAGUGUCUUUCACAGAACACUGGUUCUUCACAAACACUGGUUCUGUUUAACUUUAAACAAAAUUAAUUGCCCUCACAAAGUCAAACGGUUUAUACUAAA
This is a long non-coding RNA of Manis pentadactyla (Chinese pangolin), 1610 nucleotides long. RefSeq lists it as uncharacterized. Lineage: Eukaryota; Metazoa; Chordata; Mammalia; Pholidota; Manidae. The record is from RefSeq and is a predicted model, not a curated record. The transcript is spliced from 8 exons.